AUCGAACGCUGGCGGCAGGCCUAACACAUGCAAGUCGAACGGUCACAGCAAGCUGCUUGCUGCUUUGCUGACGAGUACCGGACGGGUUAGCAAUGUGUUGGAAACUGCCUGAUGGAGGUUGAUAACUACUGGAAAGGGCAGCUAAUACCGCAUAACGUCGCCCUCUCAAAGGGGGGGACCUUGGUGCCUCUGUUCGUCGGGUAUGCCCAGAUGGGCUUAGCGAGUAGGUGGGGUCAUGGCACACCGAGGCGACGAUCCCAAGCUGGUCUGAGAGGAUGGCCAGCCACAUGGGAAGAGAGACACGGUCCAGACGCCUACGGGAGGCAGCAGUCGAGAAUAUUGCACAAGGGGGGCAAGGCUGAUGCAGCGAUGCGGGGGGUAUGAAGACGGCCUCCGGGUUGGAAAGUACUGUCAGCGGGGAGGAAGGGAGUAAAGUUAAUACCUGUGGUUAUUGACGGUACCCGGAGAAGAAGCACCGGCUAACUCCGUG
This 490-nucleotide ribosomal RNA is filed under the name uncultured bacterium. RNAcentral's name for it is "partial 16S ribosomal RNA". It matches the Rfam family "Bacterial small subunit ribosomal RNA", at positions 29 to 507 of the family's 1533-position model. The record is from RNAcentral.